Molecule: long non-coding RNA, 1144 nt
Organism: Oncorhynchus keta (chum salmon)
Lineage: Eukaryota; Metazoa; Chordata; Actinopteri; Salmoniformes; Salmonidae
Exons: 4
Source: RefSeq, a predicted model, not a curated record
UGACCAAAACUUUUAAUAGGAAACCACAACAAGUCCAACCCAUAGUUAUAUUCACAACUCCACAUGUUGAACCCACCCUGUCGGGAGCUCUUCAACAAGGGGCUCCUGCCUGGUCGUACAGCGGAGGGGAAGGGUGGGCGGGGGUGUUCUUGGCAGGUUCUGUCUGUCCCAUUCUGCGUCUCAUCCAUCCAUUGGUAGGACUGGCAGACGAGCAGAUUCUAUAGCCGUUAACUCUUGACACCAGUGUUUCAGAGCUGAUAGGGGGUUUGUUCCGGUUCCCACCCUGUCAGGAGCUCUUCAACAGGCUAGGGAGGCUCCUGCCUGGUCCUGGUCGUACAGCGGAGGGGAAGGGUGGGCGGGGGGGUGGGGGGUUUGUUCCGGUUCCCACGGACCAACCAACCCGGUGCUGAGUCAGGAAGUCCAAGACUGAAGGAAGGGAGCACUGGUCCUUUUCCAACAUCUCCAGUUCAUCCAUUGGCCAUGAGAGGGCCGUGGUCUUCACUGGAGCGAUUUGGAGAAGGGGCUUGACAGUACAUCGUGUCAGGGUGGGUUAUCAAAUGUUAUGGGAUGGUAGGUGGUAUAGGGGAGAUGUUGAGGAUGGUAGGUGGUAUAGGGGAGAUGUUGAGGAUGGUAGGUGGUAUAGGGGAGAUGUUGAGGAUGGUAGGUGGUAUAGGGGAGAUGUUGAGGAUGGUAUAGAGAGAUGUUGAGGAUGGUAGGUGGUAUAGGGGAGAUGUUGAGGAUGGUAGGUGGUAUAGGGGAGAUGUUGAGGAUGGUAGGUGGUAUAGGGGAGAUGUUGAGGAUGGUAGGUGGUAUAGGGGAGAUGUUGAGGAUGGUAGGUGGUAUAGGGGAGACGUUGAGGAUGGUAGGUGGUAUAGGGAGAUGUUGAGGAUGGUAGGUGGUAUAGGGGAGAUGUUGAGGAUGGUAGGUGGUAUAGGGGAGACGUUGAGGAUGGUAGGUGGUAUAGGGGAGAUGUUGAGGAUGGUAGGUGGUAUAGGGGAGAUGUUGAGGAUGGUAGGUGGUAUAGGGGAGAUGUUGAGGGUGGUAGGUGGUAUAGGGGAGACGUUGAGGAUGGUAGGUGGUAUAGGGGAGACGUUGAGGAUGGUAGGUGGUAUAGGGAGAUGUUGAGGAUGGUAGGUGGUAUAGG